RNAcentral lists this ribosomal RNA (254 nucleotides) under uncultured bacterium. Its description in RNAcentral is "partial 16S ribosomal RNA". It matches the Rfam family "Bacterial small subunit ribosomal RNA", at positions 524 to 776 of the family's 1533-position model. The record is from RNAcentral.
UACGGAGGGAGCGAGCGUUGUUCGGAAUCACUGGGCGUAAAGGGCGCGUAGGCGGUCGGGUAAGUCGGGUGUGAAACUCCGGGGCUCAACCCCGUGAACUGCACUCGAUACUGCUCGACUAGAGAGAGGUAGGGGCGAGUGGAAUUCCCGGUGUAGCGGUGGAAUGCGUAGAUAUCGGGAGGAACACCAGUGGCGAAGGCGGCCUCCUGGGCUGUUGCUGACACUGAGACCCGAAAGCGUGGGGAGCGAACAGG